CAGCCGCGGUAAUAGUAGGUGGCAAGCUUGUCCGGAUUUAUUGGGCGUAAAGCGAGCGCAGGCGGAAGAAUAAGUUGAUGUGAAAGCCCUCGGCUUAACCGAGGACCUGCAUCGGAAACUGUUUUUCUUGAGUGCAGAAGAGGAGAGUGGAACUCCAUGUGUAGCGGUGGAAUGCGUAGAUAUAUGGAAGAACACCAGUGGCGAAGGCGGCUCUCUGGUAUGCAACUGACGCUGAGGCUCGAAAGCAUGGGUAGCGAACAGGAUUAGAUACCCUGGUAGUCCAUGCCGUAAACGAUGAGUGCUAAGUGUUGGGAGGUUUCCGCCUCUCAGUGCUGCAGCUAACGCAUUAAGCACUCCGCCUGGGGAGUACGGCCGCAAGGGUGAAACUCAAAGGAAUUGACGGGGGCCCGCACAAGCGAGAAGCAUGUGGUUUCAUUCGAAGCAACG
RNAcentral lists this ribosomal RNA (447 nucleotides) under uncultured Lactobacillus sp. RNAcentral's name for it is "bacterial SSU rRNA". It matches the Rfam family "Bacterial small subunit ribosomal RNA", at positions 512 to 961 of the family's 1533-position model. Lineage: Bacteria; Bacillati; Bacillota; Bacilli; Lactobacillales; Lactobacillaceae. The record is from RNAcentral.